AGUGAACGCUGGCGGUAGGCCUAACACAUGCAAGUCGAACGGCAGCACAGGAGAGCUUGCUCUCUGGGUGGCGAGUGGCGGACGGGUGAGGAAUACAUCGGAAUCUACUCUGUCGUGGGGGAUAACGUAGGGAAACUUACGCUAAUACCGCAUACGACCUACGGGUGAAAGCAGGGGACCUUCGGGCCUUGCGCGAUUGAAUGAGCCGAGGUCGGAUUAGCUAGUUGGCGGGGUAAAGGCCCACCAAGGCGACGAUCCGUAGCUGGUCUGAGAGGAUGAUCAGCCACACUGGAACUGAGACACGGUCCAGACUCCUACGGGAGGCAGCAGUGGGGAAUAUUGGACAAUGGGCGCAAGCCUGAUCCAGCCGUACCGCGUGGGUGAAGAAGGCCUUCGGGUUGUAAAGCCCUUUUGUUGGGAAAGAAAUCCAGCUGGCUAAUACCCGGUUGGGAUGACGGUACCCAAAGAAUAAGCACCGGCUAACUUCGUGCCAGCCGCCGCCGUAA
Molecule: ribosomal RNA, 506 nt
Filed under: uncultured bacterium
Lineage: Bacteria
Description: partial 16S ribosomal RNA
Rfam family: Bacterial small subunit ribosomal RNA
Source: RNAcentral